GUUUUUAGUAAAGCCAGGGUUUUGCCAUGUUGCCCAGGCUGGUCUCAAACUCCUUGACUCGAGAGACCCACCCUCAGCCUCUCAAAGUGCUGGGAUUACAGCCAUGAGCCCCUGCGCCCAGUUGACAAUUUCUGCAUUAAUCCACAGAACACAUUAAAGCACUUAGGAAGUGGCAGCAGGGAAGGUGAGAAGAGGAUUGUCAAAGACAUUGUGAUGACAGAAUGGACAGGACUUGGUGAACUGAGUUGAUGCAAGCAGAAUCAUGAUAUUGUGUGAUUAAAGUCAUCUUGUGUCAUGUAAGAAAAAGAAAUGGAAACUAAGCAAUAUUAAUUAACAUAGUCCAAGGUCACAAAGCAAAAUGGAACAAGAACCUGGAUCUGAAUUCAGAGGCAAGAUGCUGGAGAUAGGGUCUUGUUCUGUCGCCCAGGCUUGGGUGCAAUGGCAUGAUCAUAGCUCACGGCAGCCUCGAACUCCUGGGGUCCAGUGAUUCUCCUGCCUCAGCGUCCCUUGUAAUUGGACUACAGGUACAAAUCACCAUGUCUGGCUCUUGUUCUUUAACACAUGCUCGUAGCUCAAAACUAGUAGAAUUCCCUCUGAUACAUUUGUGAACCUCUGCUUCCACUACAAGUUUCAUGCUACUGGAGUCAGUUGCCUUUUUCUCAAACCUGCUUAUACCAAUUAAACUUGUUACUGAAAUUAAUUAGUUAAAUAUGUAAACCAGUGAAAUAUGAAACAAAAGUCAGUCACUAAAGAAAUUACUGUACAAUUAAGUGUAAGCAAAACAACUCCAAAAGCCUCGAAAAAGUGAGUAGAAAUCUACAGAUAUUUUGCUGACAAAUGAAAUACAUUUGUAGUUUAAGUUAAAAUUUAAAAUUAAAGAUAUAUAUAUCAUUUUUAAAUUUCUCUAUUUAAAUUGACAUUUUCCCUUCACCAAUCACAAUACCAGUGUUGGAUAAGGGAACUUUCACUAUAUCCUGUGUUGUAUUUUGUAUGGUAUUUCUGAUCAUUCUUUUAAUAAAAACACAAUCUAUCUAGAAAAGCAAAAAUAAAGACUGAAAUCCACAUUCUUUUAGCACUUUCAUGUGAAUCCUCAAUACUGCAUCUAAUACUACAUAUCUUCUUAAACUGUUCCUCUAAAUCUUAGGGAGAAUGUGAUUGUUACAUCCUAAAGUUUGUGUCAUGAACAUUUGUGGCUCACUUGUAUUCACAAGAUUAUGAGGAAUUAUGCAUUUAGGAGCAGGUUAGGUUAUCAUCAUCAUUGUUUUUUCAUGAUAAGCCAAUGUGUACAGCAUGUUAAUAGUCUUCUCUGUAAGGAAUCUUAGAAAUAAUUGAGUGCACUUCUCUAGUAUUAAAAAUGAGUAAAUGGACAGGCAGAGUGGUGUGCACUUUUAGUCUCAGCUACUCAGGAGGCUGAGACAGGAGAACUGAUUGAGCACAAGAGUUCUGGGCUAUAGUGUGCUAUGUCAAGCGGGUGUCUGCACUGUUUGGCAUUAAUAUGGUAACUUCUUGGGACAGGGAACCACCAGGUUUCCUAAGGAGGGGUGAAACGGUCCAAUCUGGAAAUGGAGCAGGUCAAAAUUCCCAUGCUGAUCUGUAGUGGGAUGGCACCUGUGAAUAGCCACUGCCCUCCAGCCUGGGCAACAUAGCAAGACCCCAUCUGUCUCUAACUUUUAAAAAUGAGUAAACUGAGAACUAGGGUUAAAGAAACUUGCCCAAGGUAGAAAUUUAUUGAAAUAAAAUUAAGGGAAAUGUUUAUAUAGCCCUUAACAUUAUGUCUUCUCCGUGAUAUAUAACACUUUAAAUCCAAGGAUCUCAAAACACUUUUAAAUCAGAUCAUUAAUUCUUCUGAUAUCUAUGUAUCAAAUUAUUCUAUUUUCUACCAGCUGGGUUAUCUCUUGUCAGACACUAAUUUAAAAGUCAACAUUUUCUUUGCAGAUGAAUCAAUUGAGAGUUGCAUUCAUCUGGGAAUAACAAGGGUUCACCUGAAAAACAAGGGUUAUUUUUAUCACAUAUGUCUGAGGUAGUCAGUCCAGGCCUCAUCUGUCCACUGUGUACUUCAUAAUGUCAUCAGGAACAUUAAGCUUUCUGUUUUCUUGUUCAGUCAUUCUCAAUAUGUGCUUGUCAACUCAUAAUUACCUAAUUCACCUCAAGUAUUGUAGAUUUGGUUUGGUAGAAGUAAUAGGAAGGAGAAAAGAAAGCAUACGAGCUGAGCUGGCCUUCCUUAAAAAAGAGAUUUUCUGGCUCAUGCCUGUAACCCCAGCACUUUGGGGAGGCCAAGGCGGUUGGAUUGCCUGAGGUCAGGAGUU
Chlorocebus sabaeus (green monkey) is the source of this 2306-nucleotide non-coding RNA. NCBI's taxonomy places the organism in Eukaryota, Metazoa, Chordata, Mammalia, Primates, Cercopithecidae. The record is from RefSeq and is a predicted model, not a curated record.